UAGUGCUGCAUCAGACUUCAUAUAACUCACGGUGCAUUUCUUUUAUUUUCAUUUUCGUUUCUUUGAUUGGAAAAGCAAGAGAAGAGGCAUUGAUUGAUGGAGGCUCACAUGUCAUUUCAUUUAGUUGUAGGAGCUAGUUUCAACUUUCAAACGCUGAUUUAGUUUAAUGAAGAUGUGCACGGUGAUCUUGUGGUUAUUUGAUUUCACUUUCUUUGAGAAAGGACGGUGCUGAAGGAAUGUUUUUAAUCUUUUUAAGCAAGGAGCUCACAUCUAGAAUUUUGAGCAGUUGUCACGUGGUCCUCUGUUAGGAGUAGCAUCUACAUUUUCUUUAGAGAUAAGGCUCAUUUAAUUUUCAAAUAGGAAUAACUGUCAUCCAGCAUUUGAAUAACAUUUCUAGAAUUUUAGUUCAUUCAAUUACUAAAUNCGUGCAUUUGAAUUUUACUUCAUCAUUUCUCUAUUGAAUAUUUCAUUUUCAAUUUUCUUUUUUUU
RNAcentral lists this long non-coding RNA (489 nucleotides) under Vigna radiata. RNAcentral describes it as "long non-coding RNA (VRAD_LNC014753)". The record is from RNAcentral. Lineage: Eukaryota; Viridiplantae; Streptophyta; Magnoliopsida; Fabales; Fabaceae.